GUCCCUGUAGCUCAAUUGGAUAGAGCAUCUGCCUUCUAAGCAGAGGGUUGCGUGUUCGAGUCACGCCAGGGACA
RNAcentral lists this transfer RNA (74 nucleotides) under Elusimicrobia bacterium HGW-Elusimicrobia-1. RNAcentral describes it as "tRNA-Arg". It matches the Rfam family "tRNA". Rfam says of the family: Transfer RNA (tRNA) molecules are approximately 80 nucleotides in length. The record is from RNAcentral. Lineage: Bacteria; Pseudomonadati; Elusimicrobiota.